GGCUUGUCCAGGUGCAGUGGUGUUUACAACUAAUUGAUUACAACCAGUUGCAGAUUUCUUUGUUCCUUCUCUGUUCCCACUGCUUCACUUGACUAGCUAUUA
Otolemur garnettii (small-eared galago) is the source of this 102-nucleotide unclassified non-coding RNA. It matches the Rfam family "Y RNA". Rfam says of the family: Y RNAs are components of the Ro ribonucleoprotein particle (Ro RNP), in association with Ro60 and La proteins. The Y RNAs and Ro60 and La proteins are well conserved, but the function of the Ro RNP is not known. Lineage: Eukaryota; Metazoa; Chordata; Mammalia; Primates; Galagidae. The record is from Ensembl.